AGGCCCCGGCCAGGGGAGCAGGGGGCGGGGAGGCAGCUUCUUUGGCCGUCUGCCGAUGUUUGGAGCUGGCGGGAUUGGGAGGUGCUUGGAUGGGCUCCAGGAAUCCCAGUGUUAGGGAGGAGCGAGAGUUCAAGUUCCCUGUGUUGGGAUCCUCGCUCUGCCUUUUCGUAGCGCUCCCGGGUUGGGGUGAAAGAGAAGCAGUCACCUGAGAACAGAAAAGCGCGAAAGAAGAAGGCAACUUCUCCGGGAGCUGAAGAGAGUGACACCAAGCCAGGGCCUUCCUGGGGGAAGACUCCCUCUUCUGGUGACCCCAAACCCCUUCAUCUGUUGACCCUGAUGCAAUCAGACCAACUGUUCAGACCUCUGGCCACAAGACCUGACAUAGGAAACAGUGAUUACAGGGAAACUAGCUCAUGCAUCCAUUGGCUAAGGCAAAGCAUUUAUGGCUGAAACCUCAAAAGCACAGGCAACAAACACAAAAACAGACAAACAGAACUUCAUUACACUAAGAAGAUUCUGCACAGCAAAAUAAAUAAUCAACAGAGUGAAAAGACAAUCUGCAGAAUAGGAGGAAAAGUAGUUCUGCAUUUGAAUGAGUCACACAGAUGAAGUAGAACAGAAGUGGAGUGGCAUGUUGCUACACACUCUUUAAUCAUCAGAGACUUUCACUCAUUCUCCCAUUGUCAUUUCUCACUAAAUUUCCUUGAUUUUUGACAUUCUCCAAUUCUGUGGGUGGGAAAAGAGACAAUAUUUCAAUGAAAACGCUAUUCUUACAUUGUCACCCUUUACAGACAAUAUACCUCUCUUCCCUAAUUUGUCAUCACUAAACACUAGAUCUUCCCAAGUUACAAAUUUUUUUCUCCUUUUUUAUUAUAAAAAACAUAUAA
This is a long non-coding RNA of Otolemur garnettii (small-eared galago), 887 nucleotides long. RefSeq lists it as uncharacterized. The record is from RefSeq and is a predicted model, not a curated record. The transcript is spliced from 3 exons. Lineage: Eukaryota; Metazoa; Chordata; Mammalia; Primates; Galagidae.